CGUGUAGGCGGUCAGAUAAGUCUGGUGUGAAAGCCCUUGGCUUAACCAAGGAAUGUCGCUGGAAACUGUCUGGCUUGAGUACGAGAGAGGAGAGUGGAAUUCCCGGUGUAGAGGUGAAAUUCGUAGAUAUCGGGAGGAACACCAGUGGCGAAGGCGGCUCUCUGGAUCGAUACUGACGCUGAUACGCGAAAGCGUGGGGAGCAAACAGGAUUAGAUACCCUGGUAGUCCACGCUGUAAACGUUGGGCACUAGGUGUAGGAGGUAUUGACCCCUUCUGUGCCGAAGCUAACGCAUUAAGUGUCCCGCCUGGGGACUACGGCCGCAAAGGUUAA
Molecule: ribosomal RNA, 332 nt
Filed under: uncultured bacterium
Lineage: Bacteria
Description: bacterial SSU rRNA
Rfam family: Bacterial small subunit ribosomal RNA
Source: RNAcentral